Molecule: ribosomal RNA, 756 nt
Filed under: uncultured bacterium
Lineage: Bacteria
Description: bacterial SSU rRNA
Rfam family: Bacterial small subunit ribosomal RNA
Source: RNAcentral
AGAGUUUGAUCCUGGCUCAGAAUCAACGCUGGCGGCGCGCUUAACACAUGCAAGUCGAACGGGAAAGUGGAGCAAUCCAUGAGUACAGUGGCGUACGGGUGAGUAACACGUGGGUAAUCUACCUCUUAGUGGGGAAUAACCCUGGGAAACCGGGGCUAAUACCGCAUAAGCCUGAGAAGGGAAAGCAGCAAUGCGCUGAGAGAGGAGCCCGCGGCCGAUUAGCUAGUUGGUAGGGUAAAGGCCUACCAAGGCAGAGAUCGGUAGCCGGCCUGAGAGGGCACACGGCCACACUGGCACUGAAACACGGGCCAGACUCCUACGGGAGGCAGCAGUGGGGAAUCUUGCACAAUGGGGGCAACCCUGAUGCAGCGACGCCGCGUGAGCGAUGAAGCCCUUCGGGGUGUAAAGCUCUUUCGUCAGGGAAGAUUAUGACGGUACCUGGAGAAGCAGCUGCGGCUAACUACGUGCCAGCAGCCGCGGUAAUACGUAGGCAGCGAGCGUUGUUCGGAGUUACUGGGCGUAAAGGGUGUGUAGGCGGUUCUUUAAGUUUGGUGUGAAAUCUCCCGGCUCAACCGGGAGGGUGCGCCGAAUACUGAGGGACUAGAGUGCGGGAGAGGAAAGUGGAAUUCCUGGUGUAGCGGUGAAAUGCGUAGAUAUCAGGAGGAACACCGGUGGUGUAGACGGCUUUCUGGACCGUAACUGACGCUGAGACACGAAAGCGUGGGUAGCAAACAGGAUUAGAUACCCUAGUAGUCC